Molecule: ribosomal RNA, 468 nt
Filed under: uncultured bacterium
Lineage: Bacteria
Description: partial 16S ribosomal RNA
Rfam family: Bacterial small subunit ribosomal RNA
Source: RNAcentral
GACGAACGCUGGCGGCGUGCUUAACACAUGCAAGUCGAACGGAAAGGCCCUGCUUUUGUGGCGUGCUCGAGUGGCGAACGGGUGAGUAACACGUGAGUAACCUGCCCUUGACUUUGGGAUAACUUCUGGAAACUGUGUCUAAUACCGGAUAGGAGCUCCUGCUGCAUGGUGUGGGUUGGAAAGUUUCGGCGGUUGGGGAUUGACUCGCGGCUUAUCAGCUUGUUGGUGGGGUAGUGGCUUACCAAGGCUUUGACGGGUAGCCGGCCUGAGAGGGUGACCGGCCAAAUUGGGACUGAGAUACGGCCCAGACUCCUACGGGAGGCAGCAGUGGGGAAUAUUGCACAAUGGGCGGAAGCCUGAUGCAGAAACGCGGCGUGAGGGAUGACGGCCUUCGGGUUGUAAACCGCUUUCGACAGGGAAGAAGCGUGAGUGACGGUAAUGGGAAAAGAAGCACCGGCUAACUACGUG